Long non-coding RNA from Myotis lucifugus (little brown bat), 835 nucleotides. RefSeq lists it as uncharacterized. Lineage: Eukaryota; Metazoa; Chordata; Mammalia; Chiroptera; Vespertilionidae. The transcript has 3 exons. The record is from RefSeq and is a predicted model, not a curated record.
AGCGUUUCCGACGGCGGUCACUCCGUCGCCCCUUGGAAGCGCUGGUCUGGCCGGGCGGCCGCAGGCGGGAGGAAGUGGCCGGUGACUCAGUGAGCGCCGGCUUCCUCUCUGACUCAGGAUCGCAUCGCCUCUUACAGGGCUGCCAGGGGCCCGUGCGGCUGCAGCGGGAAGCUUUGAACUUGGAGGCAAACACGGAGGCCCUUUCCGGUCGACUCUCAACCACUGAGCCACGCCGGCCGGGCCAGCGCUGUAUUUAUAAGCUGGCAGAUAAGAAAAGACAGCGCCAUCUGCUUCCAAACUCGUGCCUUCUCUCCGCGUGCUUUGAGAUUUCAUAAAUGCCGGUGACCAGGCGUGUUUUCCAAUGACCCGGUGACUUCCAGCCGCUCCAGCCAAUGGGGACGGAGCCGUGAUGAUACAAGGCCUCGCGGGGCAUGACUCAUCCCUGGAGACAUGACCUGCGUGGCCGUUGUGAAGGGCCUGCUCCUGUCAACAUCGAUGGCCAGAAACCAUCCCAGGAGCUCCCGAGCGAUGCGCGUGCAGUGGCUCAGUGCCCGUGUGUGACUCACAGUUGGUGUGUGACCGGCCCGACAGGGCAGAGAACAUUUGGUCUGUAAUGGAGAGGACACCCAAGGCCACGCUGGGCUCCGGGUUCCGGCUUCUUAACAAGCGUGGCUUUGCCAAGAAGGAAACGCUCCAAAGCGGUCUCCAUCCCUGAGGGACUAAGGCAGGCACGGAGGGUACAGGGCGAAAGGGCCUCUCCCCAUUGGGAGCCCAUGUCUUCACACCUGCUUGUCCGGGGGGCACCGCAACGCUCCUGUUCCCCGUGGGCCCUGUG